GUGAACGCUGGCGGUAGGCCUAACCCCUGCCAGUCGCACGGCAGCACAGUAAGAGCUUGCUCUUACGGGUGGCGAGUGGCGGACGGGUGAGGAAUACAUCGGAAUCUACUUUUUCGUGGGGGAUAACGUAGGGAAACUUACGCUAAUACCGCAUACGACCUACGGGUGAAAGCAGGGGAUCUUCGGACCUUGCGCGAUUGAAUGAGCCGAUGUCGGAUUAGCUAGUUGGCGGGGUAAAGGCCCACCAAGGCGACGAUCCGUAGCUGGUCUGAGAGGAUGAUCAGCCACACUGGAACUGAGACACGGUCCAGACUCCUACGGGAGGCAGCAGUGGGGAAUAUUGGACAAUGGGUGCAAGCCUGAUCCAGCCAUACCGCGUGGGUGAAGAAGGCCUUCGGGUUGUAAAGCCCUUUUGUUGGGAAAGAAAAGCAGCAGGUUAAUACCCCGCUGUUCUGACGGUACCCAAAGAAUAAGCACCGGCUAACUUCGUG
This 491-nucleotide ribosomal RNA is filed under the name uncultured bacterium. RNAcentral's name for it is "partial 16S ribosomal RNA". It matches the Rfam family "Bacterial small subunit ribosomal RNA", at positions 29 to 507 of the family's 1533-position model. The record is from RNAcentral.